CAAACACGAACGCGCAGAACUGAGAGAGCGGGGCUCGCGCCCGGACUUGCACACACCACACAGCAACGACGACGAAAACGACGAGAGUUGGUUCUGUGGCAGUUGGGUCGGUGUGUAACACUCCCCCACCAAGAAUGCUUCGCUUAGUUCACUUAACACAUGUGUGUUGAACGUGUUUGAAGCGAAACAAAUGAAUCUACUACAUUCUACAGCUGGACACCAGAUUAAAGUUACAUUACUCCAAUCGUUGCAAUCAUCGAGUGUUUUAUGCCAUUGAAUAAGGUUAGGAUUUAACCUAACUUAUAUAUUAUAUAAUAUAAACUUUAUAAUAUAAGGAAAUGAUUAUAAUACGA
This is a long non-coding RNA of Dalotia coriaria, 353 nucleotides long. RefSeq lists it as uncharacterized. The transcript has 2 exons. Lineage: Eukaryota; Metazoa; Arthropoda; Insecta; Coleoptera; Staphylinidae. The record is from RefSeq and is a predicted model, not a curated record.